Non-coding RNA from Solanum lycopersicum (tomato), 117 nucleotides. The record is from Rfam. Lineage: Eukaryota; Viridiplantae; Streptophyta; Magnoliopsida; Solanales; Solanaceae.
AGCCAUGCCGUGAGCACAUAGCGAACUAUUCUUUCGCGUUUUACUAAAGAAUACCAUGUGCACGCUGCUAUUAAUGGCAUACGCCAAUUUUUGGAGGGGUUCUCAUUUUUGAAGACC